This 253-nucleotide ribosomal RNA is filed under the name uncultured bacterium. Its description in RNAcentral is "partial 16S ribosomal RNA". It matches the Rfam family "Bacterial small subunit ribosomal RNA", at positions 524 to 776 of the family's 1533-position model. The record is from RNAcentral.
UACGUAGGGGGCAAGCGUUGUCCGGAAUUAUUGGGCGUAAAGCGCGUGUAGGCGGCUUUGCAAGUCGGGUGUGAAAGCCCUCAGCUCAACUGAGGAAGUGCGCCCGAAACUGCAGAGCUUGAAUACCGGAGAGGAUGGCGGAAUUCCCCAAGUAGAGGUGAAAUUCGUAGAUAUGGGGAGGAACACCGGUGGCGAAGGCGGCCAUCUGGACGGCUAUUGACGCUGAGACGCGAAAGCGUGGGGAGCAAACAGG